This 500-nucleotide ribosomal RNA is filed under the name uncultured bacterium. Its description in RNAcentral is "partial 16S ribosomal RNA". It matches the Rfam family "Bacterial small subunit ribosomal RNA", at positions 30 to 523 of the family's 1533-position model. The record is from RNAcentral.
AUUGAACGCUGGCGGCAUGCCUUACACAUGCAAGUCGAACGGCAGCACGGAGCUUGCUCUGGUGGCGAGUGGCGAACGGGUGAGUAAUAUAUCGGAACGUACCCAAGAGUGGGGGAUAACGUAGCGAAAGUUACGCUAAUACCGCAUACGAUCUAAGGAUGAAAGCAGGGGACCGCAAGGCCUUGUGCUCCUGGAGCGGCCGAAAUCUGAUUAGCUAGUUGGUGAGGUAAAGGCUCACCAAGGCAUUGAGCAGUAGCUGGUCUGAGAGGACGACCAGCCACACUGGAACUGAGACACGGUCCAGACUCCUACGGGAGGCAGCAGUGGGGAAUUUUGGACAAUGGGGGCAACCCUGAUCCAGCAAUGCCGCGUGAGUGAAGAAGGCCUUCGGGUUGUAAAGCUCUUUUGUCAGGGAAGAAACGGUCGUGGCUAAUAUCCAUGGCUAAUGACGGUACCUGAAGAAUAAGCACCGGCUAACUACGUGCCAGCCGCCGCGGUAA